Molecule: ribosomal RNA, 250 nt
Filed under: uncultured bacterium
Lineage: Bacteria
Description: partial 16S ribosomal RNA
Rfam family: Bacterial small subunit ribosomal RNA
Source: RNAcentral
UGGGGAAUUUUGGACAAUGGGCGCAAGCCUGAUCCAGCCAUGCCGCGUGUCUGAAGAAGGCCUUCGGGUUGUAAAGGACUUUUGUCAGGGAAGAAAAGGCUGUUGCUAAUAUCAGCGGCUGAUGACGGUACCUGAAGAAUAAGCACCGGCUAACUACGUGCCAGCAGCCGCGGUAAUACGUAGGGUGCGAGCGUUAAUCGGAAUUACUGGGCGUAAAGCGGGCGCAGACGGUUACUUAAGCAGGAUGUGA